Chlorocebus sabaeus (green monkey) is the source of this 1321-nucleotide non-coding RNA. NCBI's taxonomy places the organism in Eukaryota, Metazoa, Chordata, Mammalia, Primates, Cercopithecidae. The record is from RefSeq and is a predicted model, not a curated record.
AGCCUGGAAGAGGGCCAGCCUGUUGGUACUAAAGCAGUGCUGGCCCCAACGCAGCUGGCUGGGCCAGACAUUGAUGGGAAAUGGCUGACAGCAGGAUAAACAAGCAGCUCCCUUUUUGGUGAGCUUCAGAGGAAGCAGGUGGACAGAAUCAAGGCUUCAGAAAGAAAAUAUGGGAGAGAGGGAAAAAAGCUUGAUGACGUUGAUACACAGUUUGAGUGUCUUUUUUACUCUGGAUCAACUUUGAACCAAGAUGAAAGAAGCAUAGAAACAAAACCACAAAAGAAGAAAAGAAGCCAUAGGAAACUAAUUCAGAUGUAGCAGUGAGCGAUGUGAUGACUGGAGUGGCAGCAGCUAUCUUGAAACCAUGAGGACACAAACCUGAGGAUAAAAUUAAAUUCAAUAUCCUGGAGAAGACAGAGUGGACAGAUGGAAAGCCCUGUUGAAUUAGCCACGUAUCACUUAACCUUUUGACUUCUUAUCAUGAAAAAAAAGAACCUCCAAAUGUGCCUCUCUCCAUGUGCUAGAGAAGAGCCUUCUGCAGCCACACAUUCCCCCUUCCAGUCUGGUCACAUCUGGGAGCCCCUCCCAGCUCCUGCUCCCCCAUUUCAAGGAAGGCUGCGCAUCACUUCUCCGCUCACUCCCAUGGUGGCUGGGUUUGAGGGCAUUGUGCUUGGAGUGAUGACACCAGAGCCACAUGGAGAAGGAGCAAGGUGGCCUCCAAAGGAAAGGAAGCUGGGCUAGGGCAACUGUCCACCACACAUGGGGUGUGUUUCCGUGUGUGUGUUUGCUGCCUCUGCUGCCUCUUCCGUCAGCAGCAUCCAGAAGCCGUCGCCUCUUCUGUGGCCUGAGUGCUCACCUCAGCAGCCUUCCCCAUCCCUCUGGGGUUUGCUGCCUCGAGUCGUGAGUCCAAAUACAUAAGCCUUUAAGAAACACCCGGCAUAUAAGCACAGAACGAGAGCUUAAAGAGGACCCCUCAAACCUUGGGCUUCUGAGAGACCAUUUCUAAAAAUGGUGUCUGUGUUUCUGUGGGUUGAGUUAGCUGAAAUUCUAAUGGGCACCAUUAGAAUGCUCUGUAUGAAGUAAGUGUAAUUCCUUAACGUGAAAUAGAAUGGCCGAACGUCACGUGAGUUUGCCCGCCUUGCAAACUCACAGGAGGCAGUCCAAUCCGCAGAAUCUACAAGAUAUGCUAUUUCCAUAAUUUUUUUUCUUUUGUAAUCAGGUUAGCCUACAAGUCAGUAUCUCUGAUAUGCAGACUCUACAAUAAGCAGCUCCCAUGGAAGCCCACUAGCUUUGCGCAAAUUGAACUAUUUCAUUUCAAUAA